RNAcentral lists this long non-coding RNA (242 nucleotides) under Carica papaya (papaya). RNAcentral describes it as "long non-coding RNA (CPAP_LNC012645)". The record is from RNAcentral. Lineage: Eukaryota; Viridiplantae; Streptophyta; Magnoliopsida; Brassicales; Caricaceae.
UAAUUUUAAAGCUGACUAUUAUAAAUAUUCAAAUUGAACAUGAUAAGGAAAGAAUCACAGAAGAACGAUAUGUUAAUUAAUUAAAAAUGUAACGACCCAGGAAAUCCAAAAGAAAAUAGAUAGUAAUUUAAGUGCGGAAGCAAAAUAAAAGAUUAAGAUUUACAUUCAUUAUACAAUAACUCAAAAAAUACUAAACAGCAUUACAAAAUUCAUUCUUUAAAAGAAAUACAACAAAUAAGGAA